This is a small RNA of Sodalis praecaptivus, 159 nucleotides long. It matches the Rfam family "sroC RNA". Rfam says of the family: This family consists of a number of bacterial sroC RNA genes of around 160 bases in length. sroC is found in several Enterobacterial species. It base-pairs with GcvB. This interaction triggers the degradation of GcvB by RNase E, alleviating the GcvB-mediated mRNA repression of other amino acid-related transport and metabolic genes. The record is from Rfam. Lineage: Bacteria; Pseudomonadati; Pseudomonadota; Gammaproteobacteria; Enterobacterales; Bruguierivoracaceae.
ACUAAUAACGAUAAUAAGGGCGGGAUUGCCCGCCCUACUGAUUGCUGACCAAAGGCCCGGACAGACAGACGCGCUAAGGCCGUUCCCCGAAGCGCGGCAACAGGGGGCCAUUCAUCAAUCUUCAGGGUAGCGCUCGCUACCCUUUUUUACCGGAGUUUU